GACUCUCGGCAACGGAUAUCUCGGCUCUYGCAUCGAUGAAGAACGUAGCGAAAUGCGAUACUUGGUGUGAAUUGCAGAAUCCCGUGAACCAUCGAGUCUUUGAACGCAAGUUGCGCCCGAAGCCGUGAGGCCGAGGGCACGCCUGCCUGGGUGUCACGCAACGUCGCC
This 168-nucleotide ribosomal RNA is filed under the name Archidendron borneense. Its description in RNAcentral is "5.8S ribosomal RNA". The record is from RNAcentral. Lineage: Eukaryota; Viridiplantae; Streptophyta; Magnoliopsida; Fabales; Fabaceae.